This is a non-coding RNA of Stegodyphus mimosarum, 73 nucleotides long. NCBI's taxonomy places the organism in Eukaryota, Metazoa, Arthropoda, Arachnida, Araneae, Eresidae. The record is from Rfam.
GCCUUCGUGGUGUAGUGGUCAGCACGCUCGACGCGUAACUGAGAGGCCCGUGGUUCGAUUCCCGGCGAAGGAG